RNAcentral lists this ribosomal RNA (866 nucleotides) under uncultured marine group I thaumarchaeote. Its description in RNAcentral is "SSU rRNA". It matches the Rfam family "Archaeal small subunit ribosomal RNA", at positions 23 to 899 of the family's 1478-position model. Lineage: Archaea; Thermoproteati; Nitrososphaerota. The record is from RNAcentral.
CUGACUGCUAUCGGAUGAUACUAAGCCAUGCGAGUCUUUGCAGUAAUGCAAGGCAUACGGCUCAGUAACACGUAGUCAACCUACCCUAUGGACGAGAAUAAUCUCGGGAAACUGAGCAUAAUUCUUGAUAGAUCAUAAUGCCUGGAAUGGUUUAUGGUUAAAAUGAUUCGUCGCCAUAGGAUGGGACUGCGGCCUAUCAGCUUGUUGGUGAGGUAAUGGCCCACCAAGGCGAUUACAGGUACGGGCUCUGAGAGGAGAAGCCCGGAGAUGGGUACUGAGACACGGACCCAGGCCCUAUGGGGCGCAGCAGGCGAGAAAACUUUGCAAUGUGCGAAAGCACGACAAGGUUAAUCCGAGUGAUUUCUGCUAAAGAAAUCUUUUGCCAGUCGUAAAACCGCUGGUGAAUAAGGGGUGGGCAAGUUCUGGUGUCAGCCGCCGCGGUAAAACCAGCACCUCAAGUGGUCAGGAUGAUUAUUGGGCCUAAAGCAUCCGUAGCCGGCUUUGUUAGUUUUCGGUUAAAUCCAUGUGCUCAACGCAUGGGCUGCCGAAAAUACUGCAUAGCUAGGGAGUGGGAGAGGUAGACGGUACUCAGUAGGAAGGGGUAAAAUCCUUUGAUCUAUUGAUGACCACCUGUGGCGAAGGCGGUCUACCAGAACACGUUCGACGGUGAGGGAUGAAAGCUGGGGGAGCAAACCGGAUUAGAUACCUGGGUAGUCCCAGCUGUAAACGAUGCAGACUCGAUGAUGCAUUGGCAUAAUAGCCAGUGCAGUGUCGCAGGGAAGCCGUUAAGUCUGCCGCCUGGGAAGUACGUACGCAAGUAUGAAACUUAAAGGAUUGGCGGGGAGCACACAAGGGUGAAGCCUGCG